GCUCGAAUAGUUCAGUGGUAGAAUUUACGCUUCCCAAGCGUAAGGCGCGGGUUCGAUUCCCGCUUCGAGCA
Terfezia claveryi is the source of this 71-nucleotide non-coding RNA. The record is from the annotation of a GenBank genome assembly. Lineage: Eukaryota; Fungi; Ascomycota; Pezizomycetes; Pezizales; Pezizaceae.